CGGAGCAGCACAUUCCUAACAUCUAUGGAUUGCCUCAUAUAUGUCACCACAUCUUCCCACCAGGCUUGCUUUCCCUACACUCCAAGAUGGUAACUUCCCAAUCUGUCCAAAUUUUAUUUGGAAUCCUCCUGGACUGUGUAAAUGUCAAGUCUCCAUUGUGUCGCCAUAAACACAUCUGAUAAAAUGGAGAUAAACCUUUAAAACAGCUGCUUCUCAUGGUUUCUUCUGGUGAGAUACAAACACAAUUCAUCUAAAUUCUAAGAUGGCAAAUUAUUCCCUCAAAGAUCUGGAAGUUUUUAAGGCAAGAUGAUCUUCAAAAUAAUUAUUGAGUUCGAACAGGGCAGAGCAAGAAGGGCACUUCUGACAUCAGAGGCUCCAGCUGAAAGGUUCCAAAUCUAGGAGCUGGAGUCCAUCACUCACAGGAAGAGAAGAUUAGGACACAGAGACACCAGAGAGGUCAUUCACAAAGGAAAGACCAUGUGAAGAUGCAGUGAGAAGGUGGCCAUAUGCAAGAUGAGGAGAGAGGCCUCAGAAGAAACCAAUACUGCCAACGCCUUGGUCUUGGACUUCCAGCCUUUAGAACUGUCCUGGAUCAGAAGAUGCCUGACAAGAGGCCACUACCAGCAGCAACAGCACGGUGGGGACAAACCUGAGAUCUUGAUGGACCAUGGACACCAGCAGGAGAGAGAGAGGAACUUGAAGUCUAAAUGGGCAGACAAGACCAACACACACAAAGCAGAGAGCGGCACAAGAGCCGUGUCUGAUGCAACAGUGACUCAGGAGGAUCACUCUGACUCAGAAUGGCCAAGCAAAGGUAACUUUAGCUCUUUUGAAAAAUCGGAUUCCAGCAUCAAAGGACAAAAUUUACUGCAAAUGAGGGCUACACACACAAGUUGCAAAAGUGAAUAUUUCCUGAAAGCUUCUAUUUUGAUUGGAAUGACACUCAGUGGUGAUUGCUUUAUGCAACGGUCUCUAUUUUGCAAUCAAGUCUUAUAAAACAAGAUUAUCUGCUAAAGACUGAACAAGAGUCAGCCUUCUGAAGAAGGCUAGAUGCACAUGUGAAUGACUUUGUCAUAGCACAGAAUGCGUCUGGAUCAUACUUCUGGAAAUUCCUCUGGAGCGACUGUGUAAAUGAAGCUAUCAGGAAAUCUCAUUGCUUUGUAAUCAUG
RNA transcript from Symphalangus syndactylus (siamang), 1169 nucleotides. RefSeq lists it as uncharacterized. The record is from RefSeq and is a predicted model, not a curated record. NCBI's taxonomy places the organism in Eukaryota, Metazoa, Chordata, Mammalia, Primates, Hylobatidae.